UUGUUACACAAUGAAAAUACGAGGAUAUUUAAUAAUUUUUGUCAAGAGUCAUUCUAUGAAUUACCCAAAAGACAUACAUACACAACUAUUUACACUUGAUGAAGAAAGCUCCACGUCCUAUCAUCACAAGAUCAAAGGGCACCAAGAGAACCCAUUUCUAAAAGAAGUUUUAGCUAGCACGAUCUUCGUUUUUCUCCUGGUAGAAACAGUAGCCUAUCUAAGGACCUAUGUUACAUGUUAUUUUCAUACCACACUGCAUAUAAAGGCACCUCUGUCAAACAUGUAUUUCACUAUACACAUGCCGUCCGCUUCUUGUUCUACCUGUCACUUCAUACCAGGAGAAUGGCCCAGAAGCUAGAGCAAAAGAUAUAUAUACCUAGUUGUCACACAAAAUGUCAAAAGACCACACCUUCGUAACUCAGUUGCCAACCUUCUUUUUCCGGAAUUCAGAGGGACUGGUCUUUGCUUGUGAUCUCCAGGUUUUCAAGGCAUUCAUGCAAGGCCUGGUAGAAUUUACUCUCAAGAUAAAUCCAUAUGCAACUACAAUCUCGAGCGACGAAUGCAUUUGAUACCUUUGACAGGUGAGUGCAUUCUGGCAGAAGCAAUUGGAUGUCCAUUCAGAGAACCUGAAAAUCUAAUAUCCCAGCCUUCAACAUUCUUGGGGACACAAACAUCAAAGAGCAAUUGCCCCAGAACACUAUUUGCAUUGAUGCUAGGGGAAGGUGGUAGAUAAAUAGUUGUUACUUUUCUUCCAUCCUGUAAAGGCUCUGACUCUCUAUUAUUGUGAUAUUCGGUUGAAGUUGGCACAAAGAAAUGAUCACCUGGUUCAACGGCAACCCUUCUUAAGCUUUGGUUUGAGUAAACUGCUGCUUUCUGGAGGUUGCAGAUUAAUUCAGAAAUCUCAUCAUGCAUACCAUCCAGGCCAUUUCCUGCUCUAAGUUGCUGGAUUCUUCGAGAAUAAACUGAAGCUGCCUUCUCAAGCAAAUUGGUCACAGCAGCCCUGUAUUGGAUAGGAUAAUGCUUGUAAUGACCUGAAAUAUCACAGGAUGAUUAGUUCAGUUUCAGAAUGUCAAAGCCAAGUAAACAUUUAGAAGUCAAAAAGAAACUAAAAUUUAUAUUUAAGAAUCCAUUUGUUUCACAGAAAAUGUUUUCAUUUUCCAUAUUUUUUUAUUGUUUAGGGUGCUCAAGAAAAUUUGUCAAUUUAAAAAUGUUUUACUAGUCAAAAGGAAACUUAAGCCAAUUUUAAAGAAAAUAAUUUCUUAGUCAAAAGAGGAAAUGAUUUUCUGAACUUUGAUACACUUAUUAUAAAUGAAUGACAUAAAUACAUAUUCAUUAGUUUUACCAACUACCACAAAUCACCCUUGACCACCGGCAGCCACCACUGGUGAUCGGCAAUUGAUAGUGGCCACCAUAAUUUACCAUUUUCAAGUAUUUUUUUCUUGCAUUCAACAGUAAAAUAGUAAAAAAAAAAUGAACUCAUUAUAGUCUCAACAAUUUUAUAGUAUUAUACAUUAAAAGAAAAUAUUUAAUGCCCAAAAAAUAGAAAAUAAUUUCCCUUUGUUUUUUAGCAUUGCAAUCAAAUAAUGGAAAAUAAGUUAUUUUCUCAUCAAAAUGUUUUUCUUGGAAAAUAUUUUCUAUAAACAAGUUAUUUUUCACAAAACAAAUGUUGAGAACAGUAAAUUUGGAGAAA
Molecule: unclassified non-coding RNA, 1690 nt
Filed under: Hevea brasiliensis (rubber tree)
Lineage: Eukaryota; Viridiplantae; Streptophyta; Magnoliopsida; Malpighiales; Euphorbiaceae
Source: RNAcentral